This 523-nucleotide ribosomal RNA is filed under the name uncultured bacterium. RNAcentral's name for it is "bacterial SSU rRNA". It matches the Rfam family "Bacterial small subunit ribosomal RNA", at positions 48 to 507 of the family's 1533-position model. The record is from RNAcentral.
AUUAGGCAUGCAAGUCGAACGGUAUAAACCUUUCGGGGUUUAGAGAGUGGCGAACGGGUGAGUAACACGUAGGUAAUCUACCCUCAAAACGGGGACAACCCAGGGAAACUUGGGCUAAUACCGGAUGCGUGCAAGCAAUGUUUUGGCUGUUAAUGCUAUUCACGGAAGUGAGUAGUGUUAAUGGUUGAGAGCAUUAUUUGCAUAAAAGGUGGCAUAUGCUGCCGUUUGAGGAUGAGCCUGCGCCCUAUUAGUUAGUUGGUGAGGUAAUGGCUUACCAAGGCGAUGAUAGGUAGGCGGCCUUAACGGGUGGUCGCCCACACUGGGAUUGAGAGACGGCCCAGACUCCUACGGGAGGCAGCAGUCGAGAAUAGUCUACAAUGGACGGAAGUCUGAUAGUGCGACGCCGCGUGAACGAAGAAUCCCUUCGGGGUGUAAAGUUCUUUUAUACGUGAGCAGUGCCCUUUAUAUGAAUAGUAUAGAGGGAGGGAUUUAAGCGUAUGAAUAAGCAACGGCUAACUCCGUG